This 314-nucleotide unclassified non-coding RNA is filed under the name plant metagenome. RNAcentral describes it as "partial contains 5.8S ribosomal RNA, internal transcribed spacer 2, and large subunit ribosomal RNA". The stretch from base 1 to 105 matches the Rfam family "5.8S ribosomal RNA", at positions 50 to 154 of the family's 154-position model. The record is from RNAcentral.
GAAAUGCGAUAAUUAAUGUGAAUUGCAGAAUUCAGUGAAUCAUCGAGUCUUUGAACGCACAUUGCGCCCCCUGGUAUACCGGGGGGCAUGCCUGUCCGAGCGUCAUUGCUGCCCUCAAGCACGGCUUGUGUGUUGGGCUUCCGUCCCUGGCAACGGGGACGGGCCCAAAAGGCAGUGGCGGCACCAUGUCUGGUCCUCGAGCGUAUGGGGCUUUGUCACCCGCUCCCGUAGGUCCAGCUGGCAGCUAGCCUCGCAACCAAUCUUUUUAACCAGGUUGACCUCGGAUCAGGUAGGGAUACCCGCUGAACUUAAGC